UACGAAGGGGGCUAGCGUUACUCGGAAUUACUGGGCGUAAAGGGCGCGUAGGCGGCGUUCCAAGUUAGGCGUGAAAGUCCUGGGCUCAACCGUGGAACUGCGCUUAAGACUGGAAUGCUAGAGGAUGGAAGAGGGUUGUGGAAGUUCCCAGUGUAGAGGUGAAAUCGUAGAUAUUGGGAAGAACACCGGUGGCGAAGGCGGCAACCUGGUCCAUUUCUGACGCUGAGGCGCGAUAGCGUGGGGGAGCAAA
RNAcentral lists this ribosomal RNA (250 nucleotides) under uncultured bacterium. RNAcentral describes it as "partial 16S ribosomal RNA". It matches the Rfam family "Bacterial small subunit ribosomal RNA", at positions 524 to 772 of the family's 1533-position model. The record is from RNAcentral.